RNAcentral lists this ribosomal RNA (1328 nucleotides) under metagenome. Its description in RNAcentral is "bacterial SSU rRNA". It matches the Rfam family "Eukaryotic small subunit ribosomal RNA", at positions 698 to 1823 of the family's 1831-position model. The record is from RNAcentral.
GUUUCGGGCGUGCCUUGGCCAGAAAUGGUGCUGGGCGUGCGGGACCUGGACUGCCCUGGGGUCCGGGCCGGCGUCUGGCGUACGCUCGUGCGGCUUUACGGGGGUGCACGGCCUUCAGUAAGCCAGCCGCAAGGUUGCAUGGGGCCUGCUUCUGGGAUUAAAUCAAAACGCUCAAGGUGGGCGCAGUUCACCGUCAGGUGUCUGUAUGUUUGAAUGAUUAAGCUUGGGAUGGCGCGGCGACAAAGAGUGCAAUGCUCCGAAGCCCGCAAGGGUCCAGCGCACCGGCAGGGGAUGCCAUCACGGGGCGGUGCGCUGUAAAUUCUAUGCCCUGACGAGACCGUAGGUACCACGGGGGGAGAGGUGAAAUUCCAUGAUCCUCGUGUGACAACCAAAGGCGAAAGCAUGCGGUUAGGAUGGGCCAGCUGAUCAAGGACGAAAGCCGGGGGAGCGAAGACGAUUAGAUACCGUCGUAGUCCCGGCAGUAAACGAUACCACUUCGGUGCCGCGAGGAAGCAGAAAGAACGUUUUGCUUUUGGCGGCGCCAUCCCGGAAACGAAAAGCAUUCGGUUCCGGGGGGAGUAUGGUCGCAAGGCUGAAACUUAAAGGAAUUGACGGAAGGACACCACCACGGUGUGGAGUAUGCGGCUCAAAUCGACACAACACGGGAAAACUCACCAGGUCCGGACAUAAAAAGGAUUGACAGAUUGAUAGCUCUUUCUUGAUCUUGUGGAUGGUGGUGCAUGGCCGUUCUUAGUUGGUGGAGUAAUUUGUCUGGUUCAUUCCGAUAACGAACGAGACCUCGGCCUACUAAAUAGGCGGAGCCUUCUUGAACCGUGUGGGCAACUGCAUGGUCGAAGGUCUUCGACCCCCCAGGUCUGGCUCACGCCGCUGGGACUUCUUAGGGGUACUACGCGUAUACAGCGCGGGGAAGCACGAGGUAAUAACAGGUCUGUCAUGCCCUUCGAUGUCCUGGGCUGCACGCGCACUACAAUGGAUGGUGCAGCGGGCUUUAACUUCCAGACCUGAAAAGGCUGGGAAAUCCUUGGAAUCCCCACCGUGAUUGGGAUAGAUGAUUGCAAUUAUUUGUCUUGAACGAGGAAUACCUAGUAAGCGCGAGUCAUCAGCUCGCGUUGAUUACGUCCCUGUCCUUUGUACACACCGCCCGUCGCUCCUACCGAUUGGAUGUUCCGAUGAAACCUUUGGACCGCGCUCAAGCCCAAAAGGCUUGGGCAAUAGCCCGUAGCAGGGCAGUAGGAAAGCUGGUUAAAUCUUAACAUCUAGAGGAAGGAGAAGUCGUAACAAGGUUUCUGUAGGUGAACCUGCAGAAG